AGAGUUUGAUCCUGGCUCAGGAUGAACGCCGGCGGUGUGCCUAAUACAUGCAAGUCGUACGCACUGGCCCAACUGAUUGAUGGUGCUUGCACCUGAUUGACGAUGGAUCACCAGUGAGUGGCGGACGGGUGAGUAACACGUAGGUAACCUGCCCCGGAGCGGGGGAUAACAUUUGGAAACAGAUGCUAAUACCGCAUAACAACAAAAGCCACAUGGCUUUUGUUUGAAAGAUGGCUUUGGCCAUCACUCUGGGAUGGACCUGCGGUGCAUUAGCUAGUUGGUAAGGUAACGGCUUACCAAGGCGAUGAUGCAUAGCCGAGUUGAGAGACUGAUCGGCCACAAUGGAACUGAGACACGGUCCAUACUCCUACGGGAGGCAGCAGUAGGGAAUCUUCCACAAUGGGCGCAAGCCUGAUGGAGCAACACCGCGUGAGUGAAGAAGGGUUUCGGCUCGUAAAGCUCUGUUGUUGGAGAAGAACGUGCGUGAGAGUAACUGUUCACGCAGUGACGGUAUCCAACCAGAAAGUCACGGCUAACUACGUGCCAGCAGCCGCGGUAAUACGUAGGUGGCAAGCGUUAUCCGGAUUUAUUGGGCGUAAAGCGAGCGCAGGCGGUUGCUUAGGUCUGAUGUGAAAGCCUUCGGCUUAACCGAAGAAGUGCAUCGGAAACCGGGCGACUUGAGUGCAGAAGAGGACAGUGGAACUCCAUGUGUAGCGGUGGAAUGCGUAGAUAUAUGGAAGAACACCAGUGGCGAAGGCGGCUGUCUGGUCUGCAACUGACGCUGAGGCUCGAAAGCAUGGGUAGCGAACAGGAUUAGAUACCCUGGUAGUCCAUGCCGUAAACGAUGAGUGCUAGGUGUUGGAGGGUUUCCGCCCUUCAGUGCCGGAGCUAACGCAUUAAGCACUCCGCCUGGGGAGUACGACCGCAAGGUUGAAACUCAAAGGAAUUGACGGGGGCCCGCACAAGCGGUGGAGCAUGUGGUUUAAUUCGAAGCUACGCGAAGAACCUUACCAGGUCUUGACAUCUUGCGCUAACCUUAGAGAUAAGGCGUUCCCUUCGGGGACGCAAUGACAGGUGGUGCAUGGUUGUCGUCAGCUCGUGUCGUGAGAUGUUGGGUUAAGUCCCGCAACGAGCGCAACCCUUGUUACUAGUUGCCAGCAUUAAGUUGGGCACUCUAGUGAGACUGCCGGUGACAAACCGGAGGAAGGUGGGGACGACGUCAGAUCAUCAUGCCCCUUAUGACCUGGGCUACACACGUGCUACAAUGGACGGUACAACGAGUCGCAAGCUCGCGAGAGUAAGCUAAUCUCUUAAAGCCGUUCUCAGUUCGGACUGUAGGCUGCAACUCGCCUACACGAAGUCGGAAUCGCUAGUAAUCGCGGAUCAGCAUGCCGCGGUGAAUACGUUCCCGGGCCUUGUACACACCGCCCGUC
RNAcentral lists this ribosomal RNA (1433 nucleotides) under Limosilactobacillus reuteri. RNAcentral's name for it is "bacterial SSU rRNA". It matches the Rfam family "Bacterial small subunit ribosomal RNA". Lineage: Bacteria; Bacillati; Bacillota; Bacilli; Lactobacillales; Lactobacillaceae. The record is from RNAcentral.